AGAGUUUGAUCCUGGCUCAGAACGAACGCUGGCGGCACGCCUAACACAUGCAAGUCGAGCGCUACCUUCGGGUGGAGCGGCGGACGGGUUAGUAACGCGUGGGAACGUACCCAGAUCUACGGAAUAGCCUCGGGAAACUGAGAUUAAUACCGUAUACGCCCUUCGGGGGAAAGAUUUAUCGGAUUUGGAUCGGCCCGCGUUAGAUUAGAUAGUUGGUGGGGUAAUGGUCUACCAAGUCUACGAUCUAUAGCUGGUUUUAGAGGAUGAUCAGCAACACUGGGACUGAGACACGGCCCAGACUCCUACGGGAGGCAGCAGUGGGGAAUCUUGGACAAUGGGCGAAAGCCUGAUCCAGCCAUG
This 360-nucleotide ribosomal RNA is filed under the name uncultured bacterium. RNAcentral describes it as "bacterial SSU rRNA". It matches the Rfam family "Bacterial small subunit ribosomal RNA", at positions 8 to 396 of the family's 1533-position model. The record is from RNAcentral.